This 776-nucleotide ribosomal RNA is filed under the name uncultured Funneliformis. RNAcentral describes it as "SSU rRNA". It matches the Rfam family "Eukaryotic small subunit ribosomal RNA", at positions 338 to 1114 of the family's 1831-position model. Lineage: Eukaryota; Fungi; Glomeromycota; Glomeromycetes; Glomerales; Glomeraceae. The record is from RNAcentral.
GGCCUACCAUGGUGGUAACGGGUAACGGGGUGUUAGGGCACGACACCGGAGAGGGAGCCUGAGAAACGGCUACCACAUCCAAGGAAGGCAGCAGGCGCGCAAAUUACCCAAUCCCGACACGGGGAGGUAGUGACAAUAAAUAACAAUACAGGGUUCUUUUGGAUCUUGUAAUUGGAAUGAGUACAAUUUAAAUCUCUUAACGAGGAACAAUUGGAGGGCAAGUCUGGUGCCAGCAGCCGCGGUAAUUCCAGCUCCAAUAGCGUAUAUUAAAGUUGUUGCAGUUAAAAAGCUCGUAGUUGAAUUUCGGGAUCAAUAUUUCGGUCAUGCCGUUGGUAUGCACUGUUAUCAUUGAUUUCUCACCUUCUAAAGAACCGUAAUGCCAUUAAUUUGGUGUUACGGGGAAUUAGGACUGUUACCUUGAAAAAAUUAGAGUGUUUAAAGCAGGCUCACGCUUGAAUACAUUAGCAUGGAAUAAUGGAAUAGGACAUCCGAUUCUAUUUUGUUGGUUUCUAGGAUCGAUGUAAUGAUUAAUAGGGAUAGUUGGGGGCAUUAGUAUUCAAUUGUCAGAGGUGAAAUUCUUGGAUUUAUUGAAGACUAACUACUGCGAAAGCAUUUGCCAAGGAUGUUUUCAUUAAUCAAGAACGAAAGUUAGGGGAUCGAAGACGAUCAGAUACCGUCGUAGUCUUAACCAUAAACUAUGCCGACUAGGGAUCGGAUGAUGUUAAUUUUUUAAUGACUCAUUCGGCGCCUUACGGGAAACCAAAGUGUUUGGGUUC